UACAGAGAGUGCAAACGUUGUUCGGAAUUACUGGGCUUGAAGCGCACGUAGGCGGCGUUGUAAGUGUCGGGUGAAAUCCCACGGCUCACCCGUGGAACUGCCCGGCAUACUGCGAUGCUAGAGUGUGGUAGGGGAGAGCGGAACUCCUGGUGGAGCGGUGAAAUGCGUAGAUAUCAGGAGGAACACCUGUGGCGAAAGCGGCUCACUGGACCACAACUGACGCUGAGGCGCGAAAGCUAGGGGAGCAAACAGG
RNAcentral lists this ribosomal RNA (253 nucleotides) under uncultured bacterium. RNAcentral describes it as "partial 16S ribosomal RNA". It matches the Rfam family "Bacterial small subunit ribosomal RNA", at positions 524 to 776 of the family's 1533-position model. The record is from RNAcentral.